CAACUUUCAGCAACGGAUCUCUUGGCUCUCGCAUCGAUGAAGAACGCAGCGAAAUGCGAUAAGUAAUGUGAAUUGCAGAAUUCAGUGAAUCAUCGAAUCUUUGAACGCAUCUUGCACUCCUUGGUAUUCUGAGGAGUAUGCCUGUUUGAGUGUCAGUA
RNAcentral lists this ribosomal RNA (158 nucleotides) under Inocybe sp. ZT10031. RNAcentral describes it as "5.8S ribosomal RNA". It matches the Rfam family "5.8S ribosomal RNA". From Rfam's summary of the family: 5.8S ribosomal RNA (5.8S rRNA) is a component of the large subunit of the eukaryotic ribosome. It is transcribed by RNA polymerase I as part of the 45S precursor that also contains 18S and 28S rRNA. Functionally, it is thought that 5.8S rRNA may be involved in ribosome translocation. Lineage: Eukaryota; Fungi; Basidiomycota; Agaricomycetes; Agaricales; Inocybaceae. The record is from RNAcentral.